GCCACAUUCUCAGCUCGGCUUCUCCAUCUCCCUCUGACUUCAAAGGAAUUGCUGCAUGAAGAGGGAAGGCACAAUAGAAUCAGGCUGAUUAUCCCCUCUGUUUGGAAAUGGAUUUCCUCCUGAAGGACAUUGUGUGAAAUCCAUCGCUAUUCAGGGCGUCACUGCUUGCAGAAGUCCCACUAAUGCAGGGAAGAAAGUCGGGUCGCAUCUCCAUCACUCAGCCUGAGAAAAUUUCAUCCACUGAGCUGAUUCAUGCUACUUCUUUGGAUCUGCUACUGGCAGCACAAUAAGGGAUGAAUGAAAUAAGCACUCAGCAGCUGAAUGCCCUUAAAGACCACUUGGGAACUUUAUUUGGUGCCAAAUAAAGUGACCUGCCAGUGUCAGCUGCGGGAAGCACAUUGUACUGGGCUCGGCAGUCUGUCCCAGUUGCCUAUUCAUUUCUGAGGAAAUUUUCAGAAUCUGUUGAAGAAGCUCACCCAGACAGACAGAAGAGUGAGGUGGGAUUAACCGAAUGCAUGCAGGCUUUAAAGCCAGUGGAUUCCUUUUGAGGUUCUCCUUCAGGAAGAUCCGUAUUUGGUUGGAACAGAGGGAAACUUUGUCCCAGGAGAACUAUACCUGAAGUUUCCUUUUCUGUGGGGUUUUUGGGGCAAGUGGCCAGACCUGAUUUGUUGGAUCCCCAGAGUCAGGCCUCAGGCCUAGGAUUCUG
This is a long non-coding RNA of Marmota monax (woodchuck), 706 nucleotides long. RefSeq lists it as uncharacterized. The record is from RefSeq and is a predicted model, not a curated record. Lineage: Eukaryota; Metazoa; Chordata; Mammalia; Rodentia; Sciuridae. The transcript has 5 exons.